This 424-nucleotide ribosomal RNA is filed under the name Acidobacteriota bacterium. Its description in RNAcentral is "Acidobacteria bacterium partial 16S ribosomal RNA". It matches the Rfam family "Bacterial small subunit ribosomal RNA", at positions 355 to 776 of the family's 1533-position model. The record is from RNAcentral. Lineage: Bacteria; Pseudomonadati; Acidobacteriota.
UGAGGAAUAUUGGUCAAUGGACGGAAGUCUGAACCAGCCAUGCCGCGUGAAGGAUGAAGGCGUUCUGCGUUGUAAACUUCUUUUAUCAGGGAAGAAACCUAUUUUUUCUAAAAUAGUUGACGGUACCUGAGGAAUAAGCACCGGCUAACUCCGUGCCAGCAGCCGCGGUAAUACGGAGGGUGCAAGCGUUAUCCGGAUUUACUGGGUUUAAAGGGUGUGUAGGCGGGCAUUUAAGUCUGGGGUGAAAUCUCCGAGCUCAACUCGGAAACUGCCUUGGAUACUAUUUGUCUUGAAUUAUGUUGAGGUUGGCGGAAUAUAACAUGUAGCGGUGAAAUGCAUAGAUAUGUUAUAGAACACCGAUUGCGAAGGCAGCUGACUAAGCAUAUAUUGACGCUGAGGCACGAAAGCGUGGGUAGCGAACAGG